This 495-nucleotide ribosomal RNA is filed under the name uncultured bacterium. Its description in RNAcentral is "partial 16S ribosomal RNA". It matches the Rfam family "Bacterial small subunit ribosomal RNA", at positions 28 to 523 of the family's 1533-position model. The record is from RNAcentral.
GAUGAACGCUAGCGGGAGGCCUAACACAUGCAAGCCGAGCGGUAUUGUUUCUUCGGAAAUGAGAGAGCGGCGUACGGGUGCGUAACACGUGUGCAACCUGCCUUUAUCUGGGGGAUAGCCUUUCGAAAGGAAGAUUAAUACUCCAUAAUAUAUUGAACGGCAUCGUUUAAUAUUGAAAGCUCCGGCGGAUAGAGAUGGGCACGCGCAAGAUUAGCUAGUUGGUGAGGUAACGGCUCACCAAGGCGAUGACCUUUAGGGGGCCUGAGAGGGUGCUCACCCACACUGGUUCUGAGACACGGACCAGACUCCUACGGGGGGCAGCAGUGAGGAAUAUAGGUCAAUGGGUGCAAGCCUGAACCAGCCAUCCCGCGGGAAGGACAACUGCCCUAUGGGUUGUAAACUUCUUUUGUAUAGGGAUAAACCUACCCUCGUGAGGGUAGCUGAAGGUACUAUACGAAUAAGCACCGGCUAACUCCGUGCCAGCCGCCGCCGUAA